Long non-coding RNA from Ipomoea nil (Japanese morning glory), 490 nucleotides. RefSeq lists it as uncharacterized. The record is from RefSeq and is a predicted model, not a curated record. The transcript has 3 exons. NCBI's taxonomy places the organism in Eukaryota, Viridiplantae, Streptophyta, Magnoliopsida, Solanales, Convolvulaceae.
CUAUGCAUUUAGUGAUUUUGGAUGAGAGUUCACCAAACAAAAUAAGAAAACAAGAGAUCAAAGUGGUGAUCUAUCUGCUACUAGUACACGACAUCCCAUUGUUGGUGAUCUGAUAUGUCUUACAUCACUUGGGGGACAAUUGCAAGUACCUAGUCAGUUUGUUGACAUCAUUUCCACUUGAUAAAGACUACAUUAAUUUGGCGAUAGAUGAGACAAUCUUCCAUCACACAAACACGCGUUCUAUUUCUGUGAUGAUCGAUGAUAUAAAGGAUUUGAUGACCAUGAAUUGGCUUGACGUCUCAAUCAUACAGUUGUUUAUAUUAUUUCUUAAUCGGUUGUGCAAUCAAUUUCAAGUCACAUUAAUCAGAUUUGUCUGUCCGACUCAGAUUUCAAAGUAUAUGCUUAAACAGAAUGUUCCCGUUGUUACGUCAUAUUUCAUCCACAUCAUAGAGCAGAACAAAGAUAAACAAUUUAUUUUAGCAUCAUAUCA